UUUUAUUCGAAGGACAGCAAUGAAGUGGUAAAGUUUAAGCAAGUAUGUUUAGGGAUUGGUUAAAUAAAGGAAAGUAAUUACAAUUUGUUAAGGUGAGAUUGGGAUUCAAACCAGUGACCUUGUGUAUGGCAACCCAUAUCAACCUUUUAUAAUCAGAUACUUAGACAUUACAGGAACCUCUCCAUUCAUCACCAAAACAUACUUCAUUAAUUACAACAACAAAAUCUGUUGAACCUGCUGAUGUUAAACAUUGUUGAUAUUUUUUCAGUCCAAUGAGUCAAUGAUUGUUGUGCAUGAAAACAUUUACAGUUCAAUACGCCUUGUACAAUGGAUCUGCAUUUAUCAACAAAACACAAGUAAGUUUAAGUCUCUAGUGAUAUUACCAAUUACCGAUACAAUGGAUUCAUUCUCCUCCGGAGCAACAGACAGUCCUGUUUCAACUUCCAUUACUUAACAUUUGAUUAUUUCAUACUUUUCUUUCAGCUGGAGGUAACGGACAAAGAACUUGCUUAUGAUCCUUAUAUAAAAAUACUUCAAUUGAACUUCAUCAUCCCUGAUAAUUUGACUCCACUUUUGCUCAAAACCUUGACUCUAACACCCAGAUGUGUAAUGGAUACUGGUCUUCAAAAAGUGUUCUUUGUCCGAGUAUCUGUUGAGGAUAAUGGUAAGAUUCAGGAGUGCGUCUUCUUAAAUAAAUGCUUUUAGGUCUACCAUAAAAUUCUAUUUAAAAUGUACAUUUGCUGACUAUGAUAACACAACUGUUUUUGCAUAAUGCAAGAGUGCUCGUACACAAGCGUGCACACACACACACACACACAUACACACACACACACAGACACCUAAGAAAGAGGAAGUGUUCUGUGACUGAAAGAUUGCGGAUUUUUCCAAAACGUGUUUCCUUGUUCUUCUCCUGCAGGUGAUCUUGGCUCUCCCUCCAUCACACUUUUGACAGGCCCUUCCAGUCAGGUUUCCUCAAGCUGUAGGAAACCCCUUUUUCACGGUGAGUGAAGUCGACUUUUGUUCAUUUAUCACUUACUGUGGUCAUUGUACACUGUGGUCAUUGUGGACUGUGGUCAUUGUGGACUGUGGUCAUUGUACACUGUGGUCAUUGUGCAGUGUGGUCAUUGUGGACUGUGGUCAUUGUGCAGUGUGGUCAUUGUGCACUGUGGUCAUUGUACACUAUGGUCAUUGUGCAGUGUGGUCAUUGUGCAGUGUGGUCAUUGUGCACUGUGGUCAUUGUACACUAUGGUCAUUGUGCAGUGUGGUCAUUGUGCAGUGUGGUCAUUAUACACUGGUCACUGUACACUGUGGUCAUUGUGCAGUGUGGUCAUUAUACACUGUAGUCAUUGUGCAGUGUGGUCAUUGUGGACUGUGGUCAUUGUGCAGUGUGGUCAUUAUACACUGUUGUCAUUGUUCAGUGUGGUCAUUGUGCAGUGUGGUCAUUAUACACUGUUAUCAUUGUGCAGUGUGGUCAUUGUGUACUGUGGUCAUUGUGGACUGUGGUCACUGUGCAGUGUGGUCAUUGUGGACUGUGGUCAUUGUACGGUGUGGUAAUUGUACACUGUGGUCAUUGUACACUGUGAUCAUUGUACACUGUGGUCAUUGUACACUGUGAUCAUUGUGGACUGUGGUCAUUGUACGGUGUGGUAAUUGUACACUGUGGUCAUUGUGCAGUGUGGUCAUUAUACACUGUAGUCAUUGUGCAGUGUGGUCAUUGUGGACUGUGGUCAUUGUGCAGUGUGGUCAUUGUACACUGUUGUCAUUGUGCAGUGUGGUCAUUGUGCAGUGUGGUCAUUAUACACUGUUAUCAUUGUGCAGUGUGGUCAUUGUGUACUGUGGUCAUUGUGGACUGUGGUCAUUGUGCAGUGUGGUCAUUGUGUACUGUGGUCAUUGUGGACUGUGGUCAUUGUGCAGUGUGGUCAUUGUGGACUGUGGUCAUUGUACGGUGUGGUAAUUGUACACUGUGGUCAUUGUACACUGUGAUCAUUGUACACUGUGGUCAUUGUACACUGUGAUCAUUGUGGACUGUGGUCAUUGUACGGUGUGGUCAUUGUACACUGUGGUCAUUGUACACUGUGAUCAUUGUGGACUGUGGUCAUUGUACGGUGUGGUAAUUGUACACUGUGGUCAUUGUGCAGUGUGGUCAUUGUGGACUGUGGUCAUUGUACACUGUGGUCAUUGUACACUGUGGUCAUUGUACACUGUGAUCAUUGUGGACUGUGGUCAUUGUACGGUGUGGUAAUUGUACACUGUGGUCAUUGUACACUGUGAUCAUUGUGGACUGUGGUCAUUGUACGGUGUGGUAAUUGUACACUGUGGUCAUUGUGGACUGUGGUCAUUGUACACUGUGUACAUUGUGGACUGUGGUCAUUGUACAUGAUGGGUAUUGAACACGGUGGUCUUUGUACACAGUGUACAUUGUGGACUGUGGUCAUUGUGGACUGUGGUCAUUGUACACUGUGGUCUAUGUGCAGUGUGGUCAUUGUACACUGUGAUCAUUGUGGACUGUGAUCAUUGUGGACUGUGGUCAUUGUGGACUUGGGGUUGGACAGGUCCACUGCUUUAUUACUGAGCAGGACAAAAUUUGGAUGACCCAGUAUUCCUGAGGGAGGAGAACAAUGAGAGAGAAAGAGUUGAAGACUCUAUGCUAUAUAUGCUGUAUGCUAUAUAUGCUAUAUGCCCUAUUUGCUGUUUCCGAGGUCAGUUUAGCAUUUCCUCCAGUAAUUGUUAAGGUGAGGAUUGGGGUAGGGGGAUCUGAUCCUAGAUCUGUACCUAAGGGAACCUUCACCAGGAGCGUGUAUGGAUGUCAUGUGGCUUGAAAAAAGGUUUACAUUAAAUGAUAGCCAUUUAGCAGACUUUGUUAUACGGAACAACUCGAUUUAAGUGCCUUGCCUAAUCGAGGACACAUCAGAUUCUUCAUCUUGUCGAUUCAGGGAUUCAAACCAGCAACCUUUUUAGUUACUGGCUCAACGCUCUUUACUGCUUGGCUACCUGCGGCCCUAUCAAAUCAAAUCAAAUUUUAUUUGUCACAUACACAUGGUUAGCAGAUGUUAAUGCGAGUGUAGCGAAAUGCUUGUGCUUCUAGUUCCGACAAUGCAGUAAUAACGAACAAGUAAUCUAACUAACAAUUCCAAAAAAACUACUGUCUUAUACACAGUGUAAGGGGAUAAAGAAUAUGUACA
Oncorhynchus tshawytscha (Chinook salmon) is the source of this 3182-nucleotide long non-coding RNA. The record is from Ensembl. Lineage: Eukaryota; Metazoa; Chordata; Actinopteri; Salmoniformes; Salmonidae.